UCGUUUAGAAACCUUUUAUAGAUGAUUGUUGAUAUUAACACCGCUAGAUCCCACUUUUUUUCUUUUUUUCUUUUUUUCUUUUUUUCUUUUUUUUGAUAAUGAAUUUUUUCUUUGGAGAGUUUUGUAAUCUCUCUCUCACUGUCUGUCUCUCUCAAGUCCUAGACUUUCUCGUGCUCAGUGACUCAAUGUCUUGUGCAUUUCAUGGUUUGGUUAGUAGUAUUUUGGUAAGUGUUCGACAAAUCGAAUCGGACUCAGAAACUAACCAAAGGCCAGAUCUGAGUAACUGGUAAACCGUCCAGUUCACCCGUUCCAAUCGGGCAGGUCCCGACAGGUCCACA
Molecule: long non-coding RNA, 338 nt
Filed under: Amborella trichopoda
Lineage: Eukaryota; Viridiplantae; Streptophyta; Magnoliopsida; Amborellales; Amborellaceae
Description: long non-coding RNA (ATRI_LNC000715)
Source: RNAcentral